GAUGAACGCUGGCGGCGUGCCUAAUACAUGCAAGUCGAGCGAACGGACGAGAAGCUUGCUUCUCUGAUGUUAGCGGCAGACGGGUGAGUAACACGUGGAUAACCUACCUAUAAGACUGGGAUAACUUCGGGAAACCGUAGCUAAUACCGGAUAAUAUUUUGAACCGCAUGGUUCAAAAGUGAAAGACGGUCUUGCUGUCACUUAUAGAUGGAUCCGCGCUGCAUUAGCUAGUUGGUAAGGUAACGGCUUACCAAGGCAACGAUGCAUAGCCGACCUGAGAGGGUGAUCGGCCACACUGGAACUGAGACACGGUCCAGACUCCUACGGGAGGCAGCAGUAGGGAAUCUUCCGCAAUGGGCGAAAGCCUGACGGAGCAACGCCGCGUGAGUGAUGAAGGUCUUCGGAUCGUAAAACUCUGUUAUUAGGGAAGAACAUAUGUGUAAGUAACUGUGCACAUCUUGACGGUACCUAAUCAGAAAGCCGCGGCUAACUACGUG
RNAcentral lists this ribosomal RNA (497 nucleotides) under uncultured bacterium. Its description in RNAcentral is "partial 16S ribosomal RNA". It matches the Rfam family "Bacterial small subunit ribosomal RNA", at positions 28 to 507 of the family's 1533-position model. The record is from RNAcentral.